This 206-nucleotide ribosomal RNA is filed under the name uncultured bacterium. RNAcentral's name for it is "partial 16S ribosomal RNA". It matches the Rfam family "Bacterial small subunit ribosomal RNA", at positions 568 to 774 of the family's 1533-position model. The record is from RNAcentral.
AGCGUAGACGGUGUGGCAAGUCUGAUGUGAAAGGCAUGGGCUCAACCUGUGGACUGCAUUGGAAACUGUUCAUCUAGAGUGCUGGAGAGGUAAGUGGAAUUCCUAGUGUAGCGGUGAAAUGCGUAGAUAUUAGGAGGAACACCAGUGGCGAAGGCGGCUUACUGGACAGUAACUGACGUUGAGGCUCGAAAGGCUGGGAGCAAACA